This 253-nucleotide ribosomal RNA is filed under the name uncultured bacterium. RNAcentral describes it as "partial 16S ribosomal RNA". It matches the Rfam family "Bacterial small subunit ribosomal RNA", at positions 524 to 776 of the family's 1533-position model. The record is from RNAcentral.
UACGGAGGGUGCAAGCGUUAUCCGGAUUUACUGGGUUUAAAAGGUGCGUAGGUGGGUAGGUAAGUCAGUGGUGAAACCUUCAAGCUUAACUUGGAAACUGCCAUUGAUACUAUUUAUCUUGAAUACUUUGGAGGUAAGCGGAAUAUGUCAUGUAGCGGUGAAAUGCUUAGAUAUGACAUAGAACACCAAUUGCGAAGGCAGCUUACUACACAGUUAUUGACACUGAGGCACGAAAGCGUGGGGAUCAAACAGG